GAUGAACGCUGGCGGCGUGCCUAAUACAUGCAAGUCGAGCGAACAGACGAGGAGCUUGCUCCUCUGACGUUAGCGGCGGACGGGUGAGUAACACGUGGAUAACCUACCUAUAAGACUGGGAUAACUUCGGGAAACCGGAGCUAAUACCGGAUAAUAUAUUGAACCGCAUUGUUCAAUAGUGAAAGACGGUUUUGCUGUCACUUAUAGAUGGAUCCGCGCCGCAUUAGCUAGUUGGUAAGGUAACGGCUUACCAAGGCGACGAUGCGUAGCCGACCUGAGAGGGUGAUCGGCCACACUGGAACUGAGACACGGUCCAGACUCCUACGGGAGGCAGCAGUAGGGAAUCUUCCGCAAUGGGCGAAAGCCUGACGGAGCAACGCCGCGUGAGUGAUGAAGGCCUUCGGAUCGUAAAACUCUGUUAUUAGGGAAGAACAAAUGUGUAAGUAACUAUGCACGUCUUGACGGUACCUAAUCAGAAAGCCACGGCUAACUACGUG
Molecule: ribosomal RNA, 497 nt
Filed under: uncultured bacterium
Lineage: Bacteria
Description: partial 16S ribosomal RNA
Rfam family: Bacterial small subunit ribosomal RNA
Source: RNAcentral